UUAAGGUCAAGCGCAAGAGUAAGAACUACACAAGGAGUUAGAGUACCUUAGCAAAACUUUGCUAUCAGGUUGAGCUGUGAUGGGCGAUGAAGUGUUGUUGCUGAGUAGAGCUUUUGUCGAACUUAAAGUAGGCUCAGAAAGGAUACAUGUCUUCAUACAUGUAUCUCAGUUAUGCUUUCCGCUGUAAACACUGAUUAUUUCAGUUACGCCUUCCGUUGCAAACUCUGAUAAAGUUUUACUCAAGCCUCUAACGAUGCCUUUUUCCUUUUUAAGGAAUAUUUCACGCA
Salvia miltiorrhiza (redroot sage) is the source of this 287-nucleotide long non-coding RNA. RefSeq lists it as uncharacterized. The transcript is spliced from 2 exons. The record is from RefSeq and is a predicted model, not a curated record. NCBI's taxonomy places the organism in Eukaryota, Viridiplantae, Streptophyta, Magnoliopsida, Lamiales, Lamiaceae.